AUGGCCGAAGAAAGGAAGGCCUCGCUCAAGAAAAAGAAGGUGAAGAUCACCGCCAAUGCGGAGGAGACCAAGAUGUUGACCUUAAAUGUGGACUCUUUGGAUGCCGACACAAUAAUCAUCGUGCAAUCCGUUCGCCACCAGAUGUUGCAGAAAGAUCAGUUGGCGGCGUCGGACGCCGAGGACGCGGAGGCUGCCUACACGGCGGCGACAACACCUUGA
Molecule: ribosomal RNA, 219 nt
Filed under: Triticum aestivum (bread wheat)
Lineage: Eukaryota; Viridiplantae; Streptophyta; Magnoliopsida; Poales; Poaceae
Description: partial small subunit ribosomal RNA
Source: RNAcentral